Molecule: long non-coding RNA, 332 nt
Organism: Aricia agestis (brown argus)
Lineage: Eukaryota; Metazoa; Arthropoda; Insecta; Lepidoptera; Lycaenidae
Exons: 3
Source: RefSeq, a predicted model, not a curated record
UACAACGUUUAUAAUAUUGAUUACAACGUUUACAACACCAAUGGAACUUACUCCCGAGUAUGCUAACCUAAUGCCAUCCACGUCUUGCGAGCGGAACAGAGCAAUUACAAAAAUGAGUUCAGAGGACCAUGUUCAAGUUCCAUCCACGUCUAGCAUACAUUCAACAGGAAAUCAAACAUUACCUGACCAAACAACACCAAUGGAACUUCAUCCUGAUCCUGAGUACCUACUAUCAUCCAUUUCAAAUGCCUUACGUCCAGCAACUCCUCUGGAGUCCACGGAUAAUUUUGACGAUGAUUUUGUCAUACUUCCUGAGGAGGGACAAAAAUUUG